This is a non-coding RNA of Podospora appendiculata, 85 nucleotides long. NCBI's taxonomy places the organism in Eukaryota, Fungi, Ascomycota, Sordariomycetes, Sordariales, Podosporaceae. The record is from the annotation of a GenBank genome assembly.
GGCCAUGUGGCGCAAUGGUAGCGUGUGGUCCUCCUAACAAGAGGAUUCAAGACUGAGGUUGUAGGUUCGAGUCCUACCAUGGUCG